Molecule: long non-coding RNA, 957 nt
Organism: Oreochromis aureus
Lineage: Eukaryota; Metazoa; Chordata; Actinopteri; Cichliformes; Cichlidae
Source: Ensembl
CAGGUACCUCUUUUUUUUUUUCUUACUCUUGUUCAUAUAAUGCUUAUAUUUUACUCUAUUUCCUGUUUGUUUAAAUACUUAUUAUUUCUUUUUAGACUCUGAAAUAAGCCUGCUUGAUUCUUCUCUUUUGGAUCAUCUCGAUCAAAUCGACAUAUCGGAAUUGGAUAACUAUGUUUUUUCGAGUUCACCUAGUUCUUCGCCCAGUUCUUCACCACCACCGGUUUUAGAGCGAGCUACAGGCAAGAACAUCCGUCUCUCGACCCGCGAGAGACAGGCUUUGCUUUCUGCAAGGGCUUGCCCAGCUUCAUCCACCUCUGCCGGCGCUUCAGCUCCCCAGCGUGCCUCGGGGAAAAACCUGAAUCUAACCGCCCGGGAGAGGGAACAACUGUUCGCGACACACGCUCCCAGUCCCGGCUUCGGAGCUUCAGCUCCCCAGCAUGCCUCGGGGAAAAACCUGAAUCUAACCGCCCGGGAGAGGGAACAACUGUUCGCGGCACACGCUCCCAGUCCCGGCUUCGGAGCUUCAGCUCCCCAGCGUGCCUCGGGGAAAAACCUGAAUCUAACCGCCCGGGAGAGGGAACAACUGUUCGCGGCACACGCUCCCAGUCCCGGCUUCGGAGCUUCUCCUCCUGCAUCGGGGCCAAGACAUCCACAGCCCCUGCCUCGGAGAUCCAAUCUAGGGCAUCUCAGAAGGAGGCGUAGGAGGACCAUUAGGCCACUCAGGACAAGGCAAACACGCAGACAGCGAAACCAGCUCGCCUCCAUCGCUCUUCGAGCUGUAUCACUGUUCGCUGAAUUAGUACAACUCAUCUUAUAAUAAGGUUUUAUUUUAUUUUAUUGUUUUUAUUUUUUAUUUUUCUAUUUCUUUAAAAAAAAAAAAAAAAAUAUAUAUAUAUAUAUAUAUAUUCUUUGUUAAACAAUAAAAAACAAUGGACAACCAGGAACAAGAUAUUCCAG